Molecule: long non-coding RNA, 420 nt
Organism: Lucilia cuprina (Australian sheep blowfly)
Lineage: Eukaryota; Metazoa; Arthropoda; Insecta; Diptera; Calliphoridae
Exons: 3
Source: RefSeq, a predicted model, not a curated record
UUUUUACUAUAAAAGUAUUUUUUUAUUGUACAAAAAGAUUUAAACGCCAAAAAAUAAAAUAUUUAUUAAAAAUCAAAAUUCAAUGUGAGAUUUUUCAUUGAAAUUAUUAAAAAUUGGACUAAUAAUAGCGAUUAAAUUGAUUGAACAAUCCAUUUUGAUGUCCAAGAACUUGCUGGAGAAUAAUGUAGAAACUAUUAAUUACAACUAAGUCUAACUUCGACAAUAUCAUGGGAUUAAGUUGUUGGCAAAACUCUUUUUUUCUAAUUUAGAGAAAAAUACCGCAAUCGGAGUAAUGAUAUCAAUAAAUUUAUUUAAAAAAUUUUAUUACUUAAUUCAUAUUAUAAUAUAGUUUAUAUAAAAUUAUUGUAUUUAUCUUAUUAAAUAACCUUAAAUUUGUUCACAUAUUAUAUGUAAAUAAAU